Molecule: unclassified non-coding RNA, 330 nt
Filed under: Hevea brasiliensis (rubber tree)
Lineage: Eukaryota; Viridiplantae; Streptophyta; Magnoliopsida; Malpighiales; Euphorbiaceae
Source: RNAcentral
GUGCAAAGCGGAAGAGAGCUUAUUUUGUUUCUACUUUCUAAACUUCAUCUGUUAAUCACAAAUUUCCAAUCUCGAAUUUUCCAUCAUCACAAAUCUUCAUUUUUUAGGCUAAGAUUACGUUACAGCCAUUACAAACCUAUUUUUGUUGCUCAUGGUCAUCACUGUAAUUUAAAUCCAUGCUCCCUAGCUCCAGCAGUACCUUUAAAAACAAUAGAAUCAACAGUAGCGACGCUUAGGGGUGUGCAUUAAACAAUUUUAACAAAAAAAAUUUUUGAAUGAAUUGGUUCAGUUUGAUUAUAAAUUUUUGAGAACUUUGAUUUUCUAUUCAGU